This 438-nucleotide ribosomal RNA is filed under the name uncultured bacterium. RNAcentral's name for it is "bacterial SSU rRNA". It matches the Rfam family "Bacterial small subunit ribosomal RNA", at positions 352 to 782 of the family's 1533-position model. The record is from RNAcentral.
CAGUCGAGAAUCUUUCGCAAUGGGCGAAAGCCUGACGAAGCGACGCUGUGUGAGUGAUGAAGGCCUUAGGGUCGUAAAACUCUUUCGCCUGGGAACAAGGAAUGACAGCUAAUAACUGUGAAACUUGAGUGUACCAGGUAAAGAAGCACCGGCUAACUACGUGCCAGCAGCUGCGGUAAUACGUAGGGUGCAAGCAUUAAUCGGAAUUAUUGGGCGUAAAGGGCGCGUAGGCGGGUUGGUAAGUCGUAUGUGAAAUUCCGGGGCUCAACCUCGGAGCUGCAUAGGAAACUACCAAUCUAGAGGGUAGGCGGAGAAAACAGAAUUCCACAAGUAGCGGUGAAAUGCGUAGAUAUGUGGAAGAAUACCGGUGGCGAAGGCGGUUUUCUAGCUUAUUCCUGACGCUGAGGCGCGAAAGCAAGGGGAUCAAACAGGAUUAGA